UGGGGAAUCUUGCGCAAUGCGCGAAAGCGUGACGCAGCAACGCCGCGUGCGGGAAGACGGCCUCGGUUGUAAACCGCUUUCAGUUGGGACGAAGCCUUUGCGGUUAAUAGCCGUGGAAGGUGACGGUACCUUCAGAAGAAGCCACGGCUAACUACGUGCCAGCAGCCGCGGUAAUACGUAGGGCGCAAGCGUUGUCCGGAAUUAUUGGGCGUAAAGAGCUCGUAGGCGGUCUGUCGCGUCGGAUGUGAAAGCCCGGGGCUUAACCCCGGGUCUGCAUUCGAUACGGGCAGACUAGAGUGUGGUAGGGGAGAUCGGAAUUCCUGGUGUAGCGGUGAAAUGCGCAGAUAUCAGGAGGAACACCGGUGGCGAAGGCGGAUCUCUGGGCCAUUACUGACGCUGAGGAGCGAAAGCGUGGGGAGCGAACAGGAUUAGAUACC
This 437-nucleotide ribosomal RNA is filed under the name uncultured bacterium. RNAcentral describes it as "partial 16S ribosomal RNA". It matches the Rfam family "Bacterial small subunit ribosomal RNA", at positions 355 to 786 of the family's 1533-position model. The record is from RNAcentral.